RNAcentral lists this long non-coding RNA (799 nucleotides) under Anas platyrhynchos platyrhynchos (common mallard). Its description in RNAcentral is "lncRNA (ENSAPLG00000026190.1)". The record is from RNAcentral. Lineage: Eukaryota; Metazoa; Chordata; Aves; Anseriformes; Anatidae.
UUCUUUCUUUUUUUUUUUCCUCGCCUCGAAAAGGGGGGCUUCUCACCGCAAAAAAGAGAGGGGGGAGGGAAAGGGAGGGGAGGGGGGGAAAGGGAGAGAAGCGUGCGGGGGCUGCACGGGGGGCUGCAGCCCACAGGUUGCGGGGGGAGCAAAAAGGGGGUUGGGGGGGGGGGCCGGAGACUUCACGCACUCACUCACACGCACACGCACACUCUCCCCAAAGGGCUGGGAGGAGGCAGGUUGGGAAGGGAGCAAAGUUCCUUGCAAACCAGUGUCCUGCUCCUACUGCAUCAAGGCAGUCAGGAGAAAAAGAAUAGCAAUAAAAAAAAAAGGAGAAAAAAAAAAAAAAAAAAAAAAGGCAAAAAAAAAAAGUUUUCUGCAAAAUUAAGGGUGGUUGGUUGCAAAGUCUGCAGAGGAGCGGUAAAAACGGGGGGGAAGGAAGGGGGGAAAAAAAAUAAGAAAAGAGGUAAAAAAAUAAAAAAUCAAAAAUCCACUUUGUAGAUCUCCCAACACUUUUCCCCUGGAGAAGUUUCUAAAGAGACUGAAUACUGCAGAACAGGCUGUCUUUUAAAUAGACUGCCCCUGGCUGCCUGCCAGCCCCUAGCUGCAAUUUGAGAUCCCAAUGACACCUCAGCUUGACUGGGUGCCAGCAGCCAGGGCCCUAUCAGUGCACACUCGAGCCGGUGGGGGUGGGGUGCGCAGCUUCUGACUUCUGGGCUUCAAACCCCGGGCAGUGAUCAAGGAUAAUAUUAUGAGGAGAGACAAGGGGAGGAGGAGGAGGAGGAGGAGGAGGAGGAGG